AUCAGGCUAGUUAAACUAUAAUGUGAGAUKGUCAUUUCUUUUGUUCCUGCCCAGGGCCUGAUU
RNAcentral lists this transfer RNA (63 nucleotides) under Laevipilina hyalina. RNAcentral's name for it is "tRNA-Asp". Lineage: Eukaryota; Metazoa; Mollusca; Monoplacophora; Tryblidiida; Neopilinidae. The record is from RNAcentral.